RNAcentral lists this ribosomal RNA (446 nucleotides) under uncultured bacterium. Its description in RNAcentral is "partial 16S ribosomal RNA". It matches the Rfam family "Bacterial small subunit ribosomal RNA", at positions 338 to 795 of the family's 1533-position model. The record is from RNAcentral.
CCUACGGGGGGCUGCAGUCGAGAAUCAUUCACAAUGGGGGAAACCCUGAUGGUGCGACGCCGCGUGGGGGAAUGAAGGUCUUCGGAUUGUAAACCCCUGUCAUGUGGGAGCAAAUUAAAAAGAUAGUACCACAAGAGGAAGAGACGGCUAACUCUGUGCCAGCAGCCGCGGUAAUACAGAGGUCUCAAGCGUUGUUCGGAAUCACUGGGCGUAAAGCGUGCGUAGGCGGUUUCGUAAGUCGUGUGUGAAAGGCGCGGGCUCAACCCGCGGACGGCACAUGAUACUGCGAGACUAGAGUAAGGGAGGGGGAACCGGAAUUCUCGGUGUAGCAGUGAAAUGCGUAGAUAUCGAGAGGAACACUCGUGGCGAAGGCGGGUUCCUGGACAUUAACUGACGCUGAGGCACGAAGGCCAGGGGAGCGAAAGGGAUUAGAUACCUUAGUAGUC